AGGAAUGGCCCUGUGGACCUCUGUGAUGGGACAUCUGGUGGAAUCUCACAGGCAGUUCUGUGGCAAAGAUGGAUGAAAGCUAAGGACUCAUGAGGAAGCUGGAUAACUGAACAAAGCCAUGUAAGCAGGCUUUUUGGUAUGCAUGUGGUCCCAUUACAAGGAAUACCCAAUAAAUAGCAAAUGCACACUGCCAUUCACAAGCAAUUGCAGAGAAUGGGUGGGGGAUGUGAAACUAAAGAGCUUUGUAGCUGCCUGAGGAGGUGGGUUCUCUAUAUCCGUGGGAGCUAGUGAUCCCCCACAGGUCUUAGCUGGUGCCAUGAUUGUGAUCUUAGGCCAGAUUUGAUGUCCCCCACAUGGCCGAGUCCGCCAUGGAUGCAACAGGGCAGCUUUAUUUGCUGUUGCAGGUACAAGAAUGGGAAGCCAGAAAAUGGGAUGGUGGAGUUUGAAUCAGGUGGACAGUUCUAAAAGUACAAAUGAUUUCGUAUAAAGGUACCACAUGUGGGUCCCUUUAACUGAAGGCAUGGCAAGCUCCACACAAGGUCCUUCAUUUCUGAAUUUCAAGGGCUCCUCUGACAAGUGGACAGUGCAGUGGGUGCACCUUUUCCAGAGGUGACUGGAUGGAUGCUUGAACAGAAGAUUUGCCAAAUAGACAUUGUGCUGUCAAGAAUUUUACCAUUAAAAGUGCAUUA
RNAcentral lists this long non-coding RNA (689 nucleotides) under Rattus norvegicus (Norway rat). RNAcentral describes it as "long non-coding RNA NONRATT008374". The record is from RNAcentral. Lineage: Eukaryota; Metazoa; Chordata; Mammalia; Rodentia; Muridae.